Molecule: ribosomal RNA, 209 nt
Filed under: uncultured bacterium
Lineage: Bacteria
Description: partial 16S ribosomal RNA
Rfam family: Bacterial small subunit ribosomal RNA
Source: RNAcentral
CGCGUAGGCGGUUUGCUUAGUUAGGCGUGAAAUUCCUGGGCUCAACCUGGGGGCUGCGCUUAAUACAGGCAGACUAGAGUGUGAAAGAGGGUCGUGGAAUUUCCAGUGUAGAGGUGAAAUUCGUAGAUAUUGGAAAGAACACCGGUGGCGAAGGCGGCGACCUGGUUCAUUACUGACGCUGAGGCGCGAAAGCGUGGGGAAGCAAACAG